Molecule: ribosomal RNA, 433 nt
Filed under: uncultured bacterium
Lineage: Bacteria
Description: partial 16S ribosomal RNA
Rfam family: Bacterial small subunit ribosomal RNA
Source: RNAcentral
AACGAACGCUGGCGGCAUGCCUAACACAUGCAAGUCGAACGAGACCUUCGGGUCUAGUUGCGCACGGGUGCGUAACGCGUGGGAACCUUCCCUUAGGUUCGGAAUAACUCCCCGAAAGGGGUGCUAAUACCGGAUAAUGUCUUCGGACCAAAGAUUUAACGCCCUUGGAUGGGCCCGCGUUGGUUUAUCUAGUUGGUAGGGUAAAAGCCUAUCAGGGCGACGAUCUAUAGCUGGUCUGAGAGGAAGAAGAGACACACUGAGAGUGAGACACGGCACAGACUCCUGCGGGAGGCAGGAGUGGAGAAUAUUGGAAAAUGGGCGAGAGCCUGAUAGAGCUACGGCGCGGAAGUGAUGAAGGCAUGAGGGUUGUACAGCUCUUUUAGCCGGGAUGAUAAUGACGGUACCGGGAGAAUAAGCUCCGGCUAACUCCGUG